UGGUGGAGUGAUUUGUCUGGUUAAUUCCGUUAACGAACGAGACCGCUGCCUGAUAAAUAGCCCAGUGAGUGAAUUUUCACUGACUGCUGGCUUCUUAGAGGGACGUGCAUUCUAUUAGAUGCAGGAAGAUAGCGGCAAUAACA
RNAcentral lists this ribosomal RNA (143 nucleotides) under uncultured eukaryote. Its description in RNAcentral is "partial 18S ribosomal RNA". It matches the Rfam family "Eukaryotic small subunit ribosomal RNA", at positions 1299 to 1458 of the family's 1831-position model. The record is from RNAcentral.